Molecule: ribosomal RNA, 251 nt
Filed under: uncultured prokaryote
Description: partial 16S rRNA
Rfam family: Bacterial small subunit ribosomal RNA
Source: RNAcentral
ACGGAGGGUGCAAGCGUUAUCCGGAUUUAUUGGGUUUAAAGGGUCCGUAGGCGGAUUUGUAAGUCAGUGGUGAAAUCUCACAGCUCAACUGUGAAACUGCCAUUGAUACUGUAGGUCUUGAGUGCUGUUGAAGUAGCUGGAAUAAGUAGUGUAGCGGUGAAAUGCAUAGAUAUGACAUAGAACACCAAUUGCGAAGGCAGGUUACUAAGCAACAACUGACGCUCAUGGACGAAAGCGUGGGGAUCAAACAG